UACGUAGGGGGCAAGCGUUGUCCGGAAUCAUUGGGCGUAAAGCGCACGUAGGCGGAUCGUUAAGUCGGAGGUGAAAUCCUGGAGCUCAACUCCAGAACUGCCUUCGAUACUGGCGAUCUUGGAGUCCGGGAGAGGUGAGUGGAACUCCGAGUGUAGAGGUGAAAUUCGUAGAUAUUCGGAAGAACACCAGUGGCGAAGGCGGCUCACUGGCCCGGUACUGACGCUGAGGUGCGAAAGCGUGGGGAGCAAACAGG
Molecule: ribosomal RNA, 254 nt
Filed under: uncultured bacterium
Lineage: Bacteria
Description: partial 16S ribosomal RNA
Rfam family: Bacterial small subunit ribosomal RNA
Source: RNAcentral